UUCGGUCCUGAACAUCGCCCCAUUAUGGAUUUUGCACUUGAUAAUGUGCAGAAGCUGAAGCUUCGGGCAGAAAAGCUUCAAGCACAGCAACUGCAGGGUCCAUACGAUGCUAGAGGGAAUUUUCAGCAAAAUGAUCAUUUAGGCAGAGGGGGUUCUAUUGCAAACUCGAACUCAAGAAUACACAAGUAUAGAGAUGGAGAUGCCUCAUUGAAGAGGACUUACGAUAACAAAAGAGGGGAAUUGGAGAACAAACGCAG
Molecule: long non-coding RNA, 257 nt
Filed under: Salvia miltiorrhiza (redroot sage)
Lineage: Eukaryota; Viridiplantae; Streptophyta; Magnoliopsida; Lamiales; Lamiaceae
Description: long non-coding RNA (SMIL_LNC000861)
Source: RNAcentral